GACAAUAAGGUUUAUUAUUGCCUAGCGGAAGGAUGGGUUGUUAGAUAGACUUUUGCUGAAGCACUAUUAUAUCAAAGCUCUAAUUCUGUUAGGCAAUAGGUCUCUAGUCUGUUAGAGUUGCUGAAUCUUCUACUUAUUCGUUACUGUAUUUUCAAAGACCAAAAUUUCCACCAUAAUAAAAUUGCACACUUUAUACUUAUAGUAAUGCACAAAUCCC
RNAcentral lists this long non-coding RNA (217 nucleotides) under Glycine max (soybean). RNAcentral describes it as "long non-coding RNA (GMAX_LNC002813)". Lineage: Eukaryota; Viridiplantae; Streptophyta; Magnoliopsida; Fabales; Fabaceae. The record is from RNAcentral.